Molecule: long non-coding RNA, 1492 nt
Filed under: Dromaius novaehollandiae (emu)
Lineage: Eukaryota; Metazoa; Chordata; Aves; Casuariiformes; Dromaiidae
Description: lncRNA (ENSDNVG00000001978.1)
Source: RNAcentral
GAGGAGAGGCAGUUAGGGAGAGGAGCUGGGAGAGCAAGGUGCACAGGAGGCGGCGGAAGAGGAGGCUGCUGCGGGACGGAGGCCUCCCAGGGUCACCCGUUGCUGCCGCGCCACCCGGGCAGACCGAGGUGGCCAGGCUGGCCCAAGGGCAAGGAGAGGCGCAGGGGGCACUGGGGUAAAUGGUUAGGGAUCGUAGCCCCUCCCAGCCGAAGGCAGCCCUUCCCACGUGGGCACCGGACUCCCGUGCGGCGGGAGGAAGGCUUCCUUCCUCGCGCUCGGCGCUGGCUUCGCCGCGGUCCUUGUCCCCAAGCGGUGGGACGCUCGGCAGGUCUUUACGGUGAUAAAAGAAGCUGGUUCUCAGUUACAAGGAUGACCUUUAUGAAAGCGUCCCGUCCCCGCCGGUCUGGCAGAUGUGGAAAACGGAGGUGGCUGGGACACCCUAACAAGCGCUCAGCUGCCGAGACUCUCUACCCCGAAACGUCUGGAGGGUGAUGUGUACUCUGCGCACAACUGUCCCUCGGCCGUCCRCCGCCCUGGUGGCCACAGCUCAGUGAGUCCGUCGCCUUCCGGGGACAGGAGGCCUUUUGGUCUGGAGCAGCGGAGAGUGGAACAGGCGUCGCUGAGAAACGUCRUCGAGUUCCUUACGGUUAAUCUGGAAGUGACAUCAGUCUGUGCAACCUUCCUUCCCCAGAGCCCUUGGUCUGAGCAAGUUCUGAAUCUCAGYGUACUUUUAACAUCAGAAUAGGAUUCCUUUCGGAUCAGUUCAGCUUGAGACUAUUCGCUGGUAACAGUGGAGAAGAAACAGUCUAAAAARAACCUUAAAAUCACUAAAAUACUUUGCAGUUAUUAUACAGUCUUUGCAUGGAGCCAUAGCUACACAGUGUUAGGACUUCUGCUGCGAGUAGUGAGAAGAAAAGUUGUUAGUCCACCCCCAGCCCAGCUAAAGCUCACGCUGCAGGUGUGUUUGAUCUCUUACUGUAGACUGCAGCGAGUUUUAGCUGCGUGUGCAGCUAGAGAAACCUGACAGGGCAAAGCACUCCGCUUAAUUUAAUCACUCUAAACUACAAAUUAAUCUUUUGAAUUUAGUUUGCYGUAGCUUGGCAGGCCCCAGGGUCGGUUUUACGGUGGAGAAGAUGCCCUUAAGUAGAAGACCUGAGUCCCAUCAGUGAAAUGGCAUUCUUGGCAACACGCUGUUCUUGAGAGCUUUUGUUGCAAGCUCACGCAAAACCGCUCCAGCGACGAGCCAGCAGGGACGAGCAAAGCAACGCAGAAAGACUGGCUGCUGCGUUACCUGCUCCGCUACGGAGGGGCCCGAAAGGAUGGAACAAAGCUGCGGCAGGUUUGCAGUGUCACAAGAGCUCGUUCUUCCAAAAAACGUCUUGCCGCGUUCCUGGUGUGGUGAACGUUCAUAGGUUCGCUCUGGCUUUGCACUUGUUUUGGAGCUAGGCCUACAUGCUGUUAGUCUUGCGUUUUCCUACUCCAUAUUUAUAGA